RNAcentral lists this long non-coding RNA (2896 nucleotides) under Capsicum annuum. RNAcentral describes it as "long non-coding RNA (CANN_LNC014612)". The record is from RNAcentral. Lineage: Eukaryota; Viridiplantae; Streptophyta; Magnoliopsida; Solanales; Solanaceae.
AUUAACUCAUUUUGACUUAAUUUAACAUGCUUAACACACUAAAACUAUGUUAACAUGCUAAAAAAUCUAAUGCUAAUAUGCUAAAAAUGCAUUAACACGUUUUAAUCUACUAUGCAGAAAACAUUUGAUAUGCUUCAAAUCAAAUUAAUGUGCUCAAUAUUGCUAAAAUAAACACUUAAUGUCACGUUAAUUUGCUUAAAUUUGUGUUAACAUACUAGACAUAUAUUAAAUCGUUUACGUCUAAUGUUCGACAUGCUAAAGGCGUAUUACUAGACAUAUAUUAAAUCGUUUACGUCUAAUGUUCGACAUGCUAAAGACAUGUUAAUACGCCAGAAUUGAAUCAAAUUCAUUAAUAAACAGUUUAAGCGUCACAUGCGGUAAUAAAACCUAAAUUUGUGUGCUUAGAUGAUCCACGUAACACUUAUUACACAUAAACCUAAGUUGUGCCCACCUAUCAAUUCAUAGAGAACGUAAAUUUUCGCCCCCGAAGCCAGUAGCGGAGCCAGAUUUUUGGUUAAGGAUGUUCAUAUUUUCCCUUGGGCAAAGAACUGUUUAAAAAACAAAGAAAAUAAAGCACUGUUGCACCUGCCAAGGUUCAAACCCGAAUUGUUGAUGCGGAAAUGCACACUCUUGACCACUGAACUAUGCUUCUCUAGCUUGUCAAGGGUCUGCAACAACAUGUAUAUAACCAUAAAUAUCUAUAUUUAACUUAUAUACUCGGAAAAAAAAUCCGACGAAGGGUGUUCAUCUGACCACCUUUCGUUGGCUGUGGCUCGCCACUGCCCGAAGCAGUCCCCAACAUUUAUCAUUACAACGAUAGGAAUAAUGUUUUUACAAUAAUAUUGCAAACCAAAUAAAAAAAAAAAAGAGGAAAGAAAAACAACUAGCUAUAAAAAAAUACAUAGUUAGUUUAAACAUCCCAACGACUCUUCGAAAUCUCAUAAGUGUUAUUUAAAUCUGUGAAAAAAUACAUAAUAGCAAACAAACAGGAACAAACAUCGAAAUAUUCCUAUAGACAUAUUCCUAACAUGACGCAGUCAGCACGCACAGAGAAUAAAAUAAUUGCAUCAAUUCAAGAACUUACCGGUGAACAACAGUAAAAUAGAUAAUAAGAACAAUAAAGCCAACCGCUUGUAACAAUGAAAUAUGCAAGAUGUUUUUCAGUAAACCACGAAGGAAAAUCGAGAACAUUCAAAAUAUAUACGUUGCCUCCAAUUAAAAAUAGUCAGUAAUUCUUUUGUUUGUUUUAGAAUAGUGAUAAUUGUAAAAUGAAGUCCGUCCCUUAAUGAAAAGGGAGUGAGUUUAUAUAGUAAGAGGGUUGUAAGUUAAGGUCCAAUUAGCCAACCCGAAAUAGGAAAAGCAAUAUGUAAAAAUCAAUCUCAAUUAAUCAAGGAGAACAAAAGGGAAUUAUAUUAAGUUAAUUAGAGGGUAAAGGAGAAGGAAUGCUUUUAAAUCGAUUAGAAUCAAUUAAGGGGCAAUAAAUCAACUAAUCAUUCCCAAAUCAAUCCAACAAUAAAGGAAAGCAUGUGUUUAAAAAAAUUAUUUUUCUUAGUUAAGUAAGUGAAAUCAAUUAAAAGCAAAUUUAUCAUAAAUAGAAGAGUAAGUAAAAAAUACUAAUUUAAAAGAGAAUAAAUAAUGACAAAAGCACGUUUUAACAUCAGUAUUUACCAUAUAUAUUUCAAAUUAAUUGACAAACCAUAAGGCAAUUAGUCACGCUAAUCAAACUAAGUCAAUUCCAUCAAUACACCGGAUCAAUUGUCAAUUAGAAAUAAACAUAAUCAAUAUUUUGCCAUAAACGCCGACUCACAAAAUUCAAGUAAUAACAUCUUUCAAAAACAAACAGAAGUCAGUACUCAAAUUUGUCAUUUACCUUAUAUAUCAGGUGGUGAAAGAGGAAUCAGAUAUGCAAAGUUCAUCUAAGAUCAUUCCAACGAUUGUGGACGCUCAAUAAAAAUACCAACAAUAGCUAAGCAUGAAAAAUAAUCAGUUCAUGAAUCAAUGCUCAAAUCAUAAUUUCAGGUCAACAAGAUCAUACCAAUAUGGGCUUCUACAUAUCUCAAAAAUACGACAAUAAAACACGAAAUUAGAGCAAAGAUCGAUAACUUCAAGAAGAGUGUAGAGCAUGCGUUAUUUAACAAACAUUGGUAGACAAGACACAGUGCUCGAAGCACACAUCACCAAUUUUAAUUUUAGGCAAGAAAUUAAUCACGUAAACAAAUUCGGGAUGAGUUCUAAAACCCAUCGAUUUUUUAGAUCUGGGCACGGAGAUGGGGGCGGACGGCGGCUGCUGGCGGCGGUUCUUGGUUGCUGACUGAAUCUGGAUGCGAAAAUGGAGGAAAAUGGAGGGAGGCUGGUUUGAUCUUGCCGGUGGCGCUGGUGAAGCGGCUGCUGUCCGGCGCCGUUGGAAUCAGUGGCGCGCCGGAGAUGGUCGGUCGGAUGCAUGGCGGUGGUGGCUGUUGUCACCGGCGGGAAGGGAUAACGGAGAUGACGACGUUGUUGCUGCCGUCGUUGGUGGAGGUGCCAUGGCUGGUGCGGCCGCGGCGCUGGUCGGGGGUGGUUCGUGAUGGCGGCGCCGACAAGGGGAGGGCGACGGAGGAGAGGGACGACCGACGAUGGGGGAGGCGGCGUUGAUGGUUUUGUCGUCGGGUUUUAGAGAGAGGAGAGAGGGGUGUUGGAGGCUGCUGUUGGUUGGAAAAAAAAAUUAGGGUUAGAUUUUUGAUUGGUUCUAAAUGGAAAGGAGGCGGAUCAAAUCUCAGUCGUUAGAUCAAUUUUGAUCAACGGUUGGGAUUUAAGAAUAUGUGGAGUUAGAAUAUGGCUAAAAUUGUAAGGGAUUAGGCUAAAAUUGUUAUAGAUUGAAUAAAUAGAGGCUAGAUUUUAAAUAAAUUAGGCAACAUUA